AUGUAAUACGUCUUCUGCAUUAGACGACCCCAUUACUUUGCACAAAUAUUAAGCUGCGGUAAAAACAUCACCAGUAGGGAAAAUCCUUGGUCCAUAUCGAUUAACCACCAGAUAAUAUUUGGCUCUAUAUUUCUUACUAACAUUUAACUCUCGUACUGGAAUGUCCCUCCAUCACUUUCUGCAGUUUUUAUCACUGUUCCCAAAUAUAGCAAAAGGAAGUUAUGGGGAUAAUACCACUACAUGCUGAUACUACCGGAGCUUGUACAUAAGCUCCAAAAAAGGUGAUUGGGCAUUUAAAGCACUUUGUUGUCUGUCAUUAACCAAGCAUACUAAAUACUACACUAUUAGUAUUCCUCUUUCUCUCUCUUCUAUCCACAUAUAGAAACAGUGAGGACGGAAUAGAUUGCAAAAGACCUCCGGCUAUUAGAAGAAUU
Molecule: non-coding RNA, 434 nt
Organism: Pelobates cultripes (western spadefoot toad)
Lineage: Eukaryota; Metazoa; Chordata; Amphibia; Anura; Pelobatidae
Source: the annotation of a GenBank genome assembly